This 2902-nucleotide ribosomal RNA is filed under the name Enterobacter asburiae. RNAcentral describes it as "23S ribosomal RNA". It matches the Rfam family "Bacterial large subunit ribosomal RNA". Lineage: Bacteria; Pseudomonadati; Pseudomonadota; Gammaproteobacteria; Enterobacterales; Enterobacteriaceae. The record is from RNAcentral.
UUAAGCGACUAAGCGUACACGGUGGAUGCCCUGGCAGUCAGAGGCGAUGAAGGACGUGCUAAUCUGCGAAAAGCGCCGGCGAGGUGAUAUGAACCUUUGACCCGGCGAUGUCCGAAUGGGGAAACCCAGUGCAAUUCGUUGCACUAUCGUUAACUGAAUACAUAGGUUAACGAGGCGAACCGGGGGAACUGAAACAUCUAAGUACCCCGAGGAAAAGAAAUCAACCGAGAUUCCCCCAGUAGCGGCGAGCGAACGGGGAGCAGCCCAGAGUCUGAAUCAGCUUGUGUGUUAGUGGAAGCGUCUGGAAAGUCGCACGGUACAGGGUGACAGUCCCGUACACGAAAGCACACAGGUUGUGAACUCGAAGAGUAGGGCGGGACACGUGGUAUCCUGUCUGAAUAUGGGGGGACCAUCCUCCAAGGCUAAAUACUCCUGACUGACCGAUAGUGAACCAGUACCGUGAGGGAAAGGCGAAAAGAACCCCGGCGAGGGGAGUGAAAAAGAACCUGAAACCGUGUACGUACAAGCAGUGGGAGCACCUUCGUGGUGUGACUGCGUACCUUUUGUAUAAUGGGUCAGCGACUUAUAUUCUGUAGCAAGGUUAACCGUAUAGGGGAGCCGAAGGGAAACCGAGUCUUAACUGGGCGUUAAGUUGCAGGGUAUAGACCCGAAACCCGGUGAUCUAGCCAUGGGCAGGUUGAAGGUUGGGUAACACUAACUGGAGGACCGAACCGACUAAUGUUGAAAAAUUAGCGGAUGACUUGUGGCUGGGGGUGAAAGGCCAAUCAAACCGGGAGAUAGCUGGUUCUCCCCGAAAGCUAUUUAGGUAGCGCCUCGUGAACUCAUCUUCGGGGGUAGAGCACUGUUUCGGCUAGGGGGCCAUCCCGGCUUACCAACCCGAUGCAAACUACGAAUACCGAAGAAUGUUAUCACGGGAGACACACGGCGGGUGCUAACGUCCGUCGUGAAGAGGGAAACAACCCAGACCGCCAGCUAAGGUCCCAAAGUCAUGGUUAAGUGGGAAACGAUGUGGGAAGGCACAGACAGCCAGGAUGUUGGCUUAGAAGCAGCCAUCAUUUAAAGAAAGCGUAAUAGCUCACUGGUCGAGUCGGCCUGCGCGGAAGAUGUAACGGGGCUAAACCAUGCACCGAAGCUGCGGCAGCGACGCUUAGGCGUUGUUGGGUAGGGGAGCGUUCUGUAAGCCGUUGAAGGUGUCUGUGAGGCAUGCUGGAGGUAUCAGAAGUGCGAAUGCUGACAUAAGUAACGAUAAAGCGGGUGAAAAGCCCGCUCGCCGGAAGACCAAGGGUUCCUGUCCAACGUUAAUCGGGGCAGGGUGAGUCGACCCCUAAGGCGAGGCCGAAAGGCGUAGUCGAUGGGAAACAGGUUAAUAUUCCUGUACUUGGUGUUACUGCGAAGGGGGGACGGAGAAGGCUAUGUUAGCCGGGCGACGGUUGUCCCGGUUUAAGCAUGUAGGCGGAGGUUCCAGGUAAAUCCGGUACCUUAUUAACGCUGAGGUGUGAUGACGAGGCACUACGGUGCUGAAGUAACAAAUGCCCUGCUUCCAGGAAAAGCCUCUAAGCAUCAGGUAACACGAAAUCGUACCCCAAACCGACACAGGUGGUCAGGUAGAGAAUACCAAGGCGCUUGAGAGAACUCGGGUGAAGGAACUAGGCAAAAUGGUGCCGUAACUUCGGGAGAAGGCACGCUGAUAUGUAGGUGAAGCCCCUGCGGGUGGAGCUGAAAUCAGUCGAAGAUACCAGCUGGCUGCAACUGUUUAUUAAAAACACAGCACUGUGCAAACACGAAAGUGGACGUAUACGGUGUGACGCCUGCCCGGUGCCGGAAGGUUAAUUGAUGGGGUUAGCGGCAACGCGAAGCUCUUGAUCGAAGCCCCGGUAAACGGCGGCCGUAACUAUAACGGUCCUAAGGUAGCGAAAUUCCUUGUCGGGUAAGUUCCGACCUGCACGAAUGGCGUAAUGAUGGCCAGGCUGUCUCCACCCGAGACUCAGUGAAAUUGAACUCGCUGUGAAGAUGCAGUGUACCCGCGGCAAGACGGAAAGACCCCGUGAACCUUUACUAUAGCUUGACACUGAACACUGGUCCUUGAUGUGUAGGAUAGGUGGGAGGCUUUGAAGCGUGGACGCCAGUCUGCGUGGAGCCGACCUUGAAAUACCACCCUUUAAUGGCUGGUGUUCUAACGUAGACCCGUGAUCCGGGUUGCGGACAGUGUCUGGUGGGUAGUUUGACUGGGGCGGUCUCCUCCCAAAGAGUAACGGAGGAGCACGAAGGUUAGCUAAUCCUGGUCGGACAUCAGGAGGUUAGUGCAAUGGCAUAAGCUAGCUUGACUGCGAGAGUGACGGCUCGAGCAGGUGCGAAAGCAGGUCAUAGUGAUCCGGUGGUUCUGAAUGGAAGGGCCAUCGCUCAACGGAUAAAAGGUACUCCGGGGAUAACAGGCUGAUACCGCCCAAGAGUUCAUAUCGACGGCGGUGUUUGGCACCUCGAUGUCGGCUCAUCACAUCCUGGGGCUGAAGUAGGUCCCAAGGGUAUGGCUGUUCGCCAUUUAAAGUGGUACGCGAGCUGGGUUUAGAACGUCGUGAGACAGUUCGGUCCCUAUCUGCCGUGGGCGCUGGAGAAUUGAGGGGGGCUGCUCCUAGUACGAGAGGACCGGAGUGGACGCAUCACUGGUGUUCGGGUUGUCAUGCCAAUGGCACUGCCCGGUAGCUAAAUGCGGAAAAGAUAAGUGCUGAAAGCAUCUAAGCACGAAACUUGCCCCGAGAUGAGUUCUCCCUGACCCUUUAAGGGUCCUGAAGGAACGUUGAAGACUACGACGUUGAUAGGUCGGGUGUGUAAGCGCAGCGAUGCGUUGAGCUAACCGAUACUAAUGAACCGUGAGGCUUAACCU